AACGAACGCUGGCGGCGUGCCUAACACAUGCAAGUCGAGCGAGAAAGUCCCUUCGGGGAGCGAGUACAGCGGCGAACGGGUGAGUAACACGUAGGUAACCUACCCUGGAGACUGGGAUAACCUGCCGAAAGGCGGGCUAAUACUAGAUAAGACCACGAGAGCUGCGGCUCUUGGGGUAAAAGGUGGCCUCUACUUGUAAGCUACCACUCCGGGAUGGGCCUGCGCGCCAUUAGCUAGUUGGUGAGGUAACGGCUCACCAAGGCUUAGAUGGCUAGCUGGUCUGAGAGGAUGGCCAGCCACACUGGGACUGAGACACGGCCCAGACUCCUACGGGUGGCUG
This 340-nucleotide ribosomal RNA is filed under the name uncultured Pseudomonadota bacterium. RNAcentral describes it as "bacterial SSU rRNA". It matches the Rfam family "Bacterial small subunit ribosomal RNA", at positions 29 to 351 of the family's 1533-position model. The record is from RNAcentral. Lineage: Bacteria; Pseudomonadati; Pseudomonadota.